GGUAGCGCAGCUCUUUUACAUAAUUUUAUCCACAUAAUUAUAUAUAUUCAAUAAAUUAUUUUAGUUUAUGUUUUUAACUCUUUGUCGUUAGCGACUUAGUUCUAGGAAGGGCGGCACAGGGACUUCAAAAUAUACAAUUUGAUGCUGUUCUCUUUAUUUUCUUCGAAUGGAUUUUGUUUCCAUUUUCUUUUAGUAUUAAUUUUUCAUCUGCCGUUUGCUUAGCGUGCACAUUUUUCUAGAUGUUCUAAUUCUAAAAACUGGAAUAUUUUACUUCUGUUAAAUUGUUGUUUGAUUCUUAGAGGGGCUUUAGCACAGUUAUUGUAUGGUACAAUUGAUAAAAAGGUGUUUUCCUUGUGUGUCUGUGCAGCUGUAUGUGUGUGAGU
Molecule: long non-coding RNA, 383 nt
Organism: Drosophila arizonae
Lineage: Eukaryota; Metazoa; Arthropoda; Insecta; Diptera; Drosophilidae
Source: RefSeq, a predicted model, not a curated record